UACGGGGGGAGCAAGCGUUGUUCGGAUUUACUGGGCGUAAAGGGCGCGUAGGCGGCCACCGCAAGUCGACUGUGAAAUCCCCGGGCUCAACCCGGGAACUGCGUCCGAUACUGGAGGGCUCGAAUCCGGGAGAGGGAUGUGGAAUUCCAGGUGUAGCGGUGAAAUGCGUAGAUAUCUGGAGGAAUACCGGUGGCGAAGGCGGCAUCCUGGACCGACAUUGACGCUGAUGAGCGAAAGCUAGGGGAGCAAACGGG
RNAcentral lists this ribosomal RNA (254 nucleotides) under uncultured bacterium. Its description in RNAcentral is "partial 16S ribosomal RNA". It matches the Rfam family "Bacterial small subunit ribosomal RNA", at positions 524 to 776 of the family's 1533-position model. The record is from RNAcentral.